AAGAGAAUGGCAGAGUGGCAAACGCGGCUGACUUGAAAUUAGCCCACGGGGGUUCGACUCCCUCUUCUCUCG
Molecule: transfer RNA, 72 nt
Filed under: Tetrabrachium ocellatum (four-armed frogfish)
Lineage: Eukaryota; Metazoa; Chordata; Actinopteri; Lophiiformes; Tetrabrachiidae
Description: tRNA-Ser
Rfam family: tRNA
About the family: Transfer RNA (tRNA) molecules are approximately 80 nucleotides in length.
Source: RNAcentral